This is an RNA transcript of Pseudomyrmex gracilis, 1853 nucleotides long. RefSeq lists it as uncharacterized. The transcript has 4 exons. NCBI's taxonomy places the organism in Eukaryota, Metazoa, Arthropoda, Insecta, Hymenoptera, Formicidae. The record is from RefSeq and is a predicted model, not a curated record.
GCGAUAGUAUUUAUAUUUUUAUAAGUGUCGUCACGUACAUUUUUUCCAGCAGCGAUAUGGAUCUUCACGUAUCCGCGAGUUUUUUUUUUUUAUCGCGUAUUGACUCACAACAGAGAUUCACGGAUCUGUCGGUAACUUCUUCUUAGAUUUUUACCGUCGUCGUCGAUGAAAAAUUGAUUCGAUGACACAGACAAGGUAAAUGCGACGCUUACGGCCGAAAAGAGACGUUUAUUUUUAUUUUAAUUCGAAUUCGGCAUAUUCGCUUUGUUGCGCGUCUAGACAAAACCCGCGUGUCCUCUGUGAUGUUUAUACGCGUAACGAACGUUGCGCGUAUAUUUGUUACCCCUCUUCUGUGGCAACGUUUUCAAAUUUCACUCGAAUGUUUGUGGUACACGCCCGAAAACGCAAAACGAUUUUACGAUCGAGAGAUCAGUCGCGCUGUGAAAGAGAUCGAAGCAUCGCGUGGUGAAACGAGUUGCUCAUUUUGAUUUCAGAUUUAAUUUUGUAAGAGUGUGUGACGACGGAUAUAAAAAUUUCACACAUCCAAAUAUAUCUAUUUGUUCGACGCAAAAUUUUGCACCGCGAGAAUACUUUGGGUGAGAACAAAAAUUAAUUGAAAGAAAAUAACAACAGAUAAGUCGCUAGGCGCAGGUAGUUCUUUUUACGAAAUUUCAAUUGAGCGAAGAUAUGCGUCAAAUCGCAUUGUUGGCGAUUUUAAUCGCUAGUGGUUUUGCGAUUGUCACGGGUAUCUCGCUAUCGCCGUCUUUUUACAACACGAGAUCGCUAGUGAUCGAGGACACAAAUUCGACAGCAAUGCAGCCGUUACUUAUCAAUAAUGUGACAACGCAGUCAUCGCUUGUCAAUGAAUCACAAGUUGAAUUCCGACAAUUCGGAGCUAUGAGCUAUACCGCAACGGAACCUCGUUCGGAUAACAAAUUUAGUAUGUUCGACUUGUUCUUUUCUAGAAACACCUUCGUCACCAAGUUGGUUCCUCUCGUCACCGACGUAACUCGAUACAGCGUUCACACCGCCGUCAUCAUGAUGCAGGGUAUAACGCUCGUUCUCGUAAUUACGGCUUUCAUCUCCGUACUCUGCUCUUACACGUCGUACUGUUUUGUCACUUACGAGGGAUUACAGAAUUUGCUAUCAGAGCUGCUGAAUUUCAAGAAAACACUGGAUUUUGCAUCUUCACUACUAGACAAAAUUACAAACAUAUAUUAGGUAAGAGAAAUAACUGAUUAUUACGGCGUCAUAAAUUCGAUCCUCAAAAUGAUCGAAGAAGGACUCAAAAUACAUACGUAACGACGACCGUCGAUGACAUUUGACGAACGAAGAUCAAUUGUGCGGCAAAGAACAACGAAGAAGAGGAUUUAGCGAUACGCGCGCAUUCGUGCGCUGUAACGUUUAUACAAAUUGUUUUUAUUGUGUAAUCGCUCGCCGAGCGAUGAUGCGAUACAGAAUGCGCACUUCUCGCGCGCCGCGCGUUAUAAUCUGUACAUAUGUUGUAUUUAUUUUCUUUCGAAUGUACAUACGAGCGAUUUUUUUACACGCUUUAUCUAAGUAUUGCGAGUGUAAGUUUGACAUGUUAGGCUUUGACCUUUCGAUGUAUGUAUGUGCACAAGAUAUGUUUCAAUACAAGUGACUUCGCACAAGCGUCUAUUUUUUCUUUUUAUCUUGCUUUCUUUUUCACCUUCCUCGCGGAUGAUGACGUAAUUGCAAGUUGGCAAAAUUCCUCACUUCCCAUCGUCCCAGUGUACUUCGUGACAAAUCGUGAUAUCACUCGGAAAUAUUUGUGUGUACUCUAGAAGUCAUCACGGCCCCGUCAUGCGUGAUUGCUCUAUCAGAGGGAAUCU